RNAcentral lists this ribosomal RNA (1540 nucleotides) under Staphylococcus aureus W79328. RNAcentral describes it as "16S ribosomal RNA". It matches the Rfam family "Bacterial small subunit ribosomal RNA". The record is from RNAcentral. Lineage: Bacteria; Bacillati; Bacillota; Bacilli; Caryophanales; Staphylococcaceae.
AGAGUUUGAUCCUGGCUCAGGAUGAACGCUGGCGGCGUGCCUAAUACAUGCAAGUCGAGCGAACGGACGAGAAGCUUGCUUCUCUGAUGUUAGCGGCGGACGGGUGAGUAACACGUGGAUAACCUACCUAUAAGACUGGGAUAACUUCGGGAAACCGGAGCUAAUACCGGAUAAUAUUUUGAACCGCAUGGUUCAAAAGUAAAAGACGGUCUUGCUGUCACUUAUAGAUGGAUCCGCGCUGCAUUAGCUAGUUGGUAAGGUAACAGCUUACCAAGGCAACGAUGCAUAGCCGACCUGAGAGGGUGAUCGGCCACACUGGAACUGAGACACGGUCCAGACUCCUACGGGAGGCAGCAGUAGGGAAUCUUCCGCAAUGGGCGAAAGCCUGACGGAGCAACGCCGCGUGAGUGAUGAAGGUCUUCGGAUCGUAAAACUCUGUUAUUAGGGAAGAACAUAUGUGUAAGUAACUGUGCACAUCUUGACGGUACCUAAUCAGAAAGCCACGGCUAACUACGUGCCAGCAGCCGCGGUAAUACGUAGGUGGCAAGCGUUAUCCGGAAUUAUUGGGCGUAAAGCGCGCGUAGGCGGUUUUUUAAGUCUGAUGUGAAAGCCCACGGCUCAACCGUGGAGGGUCAUUGGAAACUGGAAAACUUGAGUGCAGAAGAGGAAAGUGGAAUUCCAUGUGUAGCGGUGAAAUGCGCAGAGAUAUGGAGGAACACCAGUGGCGAAGGCGACUUUCUGGUCUGUAACUGACGCUGAUGUGCGAAAGCGUGGGGAUCAAACAGGAUUAGAUACCCUGGUAGUCCACGCCGUAAACGAUGAGUGCUAAGUGUUAGGGGGUUUCCGCCCCUUAGUGCUGCAGCUAACGCAUUAAGCACUCCGCCUGGGGAGUACGACCGCAAGGUUGAAACUCAAAGGAAUUGACGGGGACCCGCACAAGCGGUGGAGCAUGUGGUUUAAUUCGAAGCAACGCGAAGAACCUUACCAAAUCUUGACAUCCUUUGACAACUCUAGAGAUAGAGCCUUCCCCUUCGGGGGACAAAGUGACAGGUGGUGCAUGGUUGUCGUCAGCUCGUGUCGUGAGAUGUUGGGUUAAGUCCCGCAACGAGCGCAACCCUUAAGCUUAGUUGCCAUCAUUAAGUUGGGCACUCUAAGUUGACUGCCGGUGACAAACCGGAGGAAGGUGGGGAUGACGUCAAAUCAUCAUGCCCCUUAUGAUUUGGGCUACACACGUGCUACAAUGGACAAUACAAAGGGCAGCGAAACCGCGAGGUCAAGCAAAUCCCAUAAAGUUGUUCUCAGUUCGGAUUGUAGUCUGCAACUCGACUACAUGAAGCUGGAAUCGCUAGUAAUCGUAGAUCAGCAUGCUACGGUGAAUACGUUCCCGGGUCUUGUACACACCGCCCGUCACACCACGAGAGUUUGUAACACCCGAAGCCGGUGGAGUAACCUUUUAGGAGCUAGCCGUCGAAGGUGGGACAAAUGAUUGGGGUGAAGUCGUAACAAGGUAGCCGUAUCGGAAGGUGCGGCUGGAUCACCU